Molecule: non-coding RNA, 1028 nt
Organism: Callithrix jacchus (white-tufted-ear marmoset)
Lineage: Eukaryota; Metazoa; Chordata; Mammalia; Primates; Cebidae
Source: RefSeq, a predicted model, not a curated record
AUUUUCUCUGUUUGUCUUUAGAGAUGAGCUCUUGCUCUGUCACCUAGGCUGGAGUGCAGUGGCUCAGUAAUAGUUCACUGAAGCCUUAAACUCCUGGACUCAAAUGAUCUUCCCACCUCAGCUUUCUGAGUAGGGAACAUGACAUCCUCUUCCUAGGUUACACCCACCUGCAGAGGGCCCAGCCCCAUCACUGGAGCCACUGGAUUCUGAGCAUCAUUGCAGGAUGAGUAUUUUGUGUCAAGUGGAUUCAAGGGACAGUGCGAAGGAUCCAUGGCCUCAGUCAUGAAGACCCUCCCAAGAGCCAACCGUCCUGGGCACAUAUAAAUGAGUGGAGACAUGGAACUCACCCUUACAAGGCCUAGAACUUGACAGAGCAUACAAGACAGAAGCCCAAAUAACCAAGAACAGGAAGCUGAAGGUGAGAGGUGGGCCCCAAAGGAUUCUGUGAAAAUGCUUUGUGUUUGUGGAUUUAUCAUGCUGAAUGAAACCUUUGUUUUUAUUCACAGGUUAGAUACACUCUCUAUAUAGAAUCUAUGAAGGGACACUUCUGGGUUUUCUGAGGCCUAUGGUGAAAAAUGGAGUAUCUCAGGCCACUCAGGAUGAAUAAUGCAGUCACCGAGAGGGGCAGGGUGGCCACAGGUGGCCAGCAGCAGGGAUGGGCAUUGUGAGCCUUUGGGUGGGGUUGUGGGAAGUGGCAUUGUGAGCCACUGGCCUGACUUUGUUGUUUCCUGGUAACCAGGUGACAUAGGAGGCUUUGUGGGUAACAGGCAUCAGCCAGGGCCAGCAGCCUUCAGUCGGAAGCUGAUGGAGGAGGAGGAGGAGCUCCGACUACUCUCACGGAAGUAUUUGUGCCCUUGUGGCUUGCUCUGUUGCAGCACUUUGGGAGGUCAAAGAAGGUGGACCGCUUGAGUCCAGGAGUUAGAGACCAGCCUGGACAACAUGUUGAAACCCCAUCUCUACAAAAAAAAUACAAAUUAGGCACAGUGGUGGAGGUGGAUGCAUAUAGUUCCAGUUACUCAGGAGGCUGA